UUUUUGUGUUCCCAAGUCCCUCUUUUUAGUUGAGAAGUGCCGCCUCCGUUUUCUCAAUUCUCCUCCAUUCCUCUCUUAAUUCUUUGUGACGUUCAUUUCUCCAUCAAAUUAUUGCACCAGUUAAAUCUACUAUAUUGCUUCCAUUAAUAUUUUAUUUCUUUCUCUUUCACACACAUAGAUCCUCUUAUUCAAUAAUGCUUAAUUAUCUCUAAAAUCUUUUAUUGAUUUAAUAACAUAAAAGAUCAAAUCCGCAUGAUGGGCAUUUUAAGACGCAAAGCCACUUCUGACGCCUCCUUUGCUUUGAUACAAAUCCUCAAGCUAAGUUAAGAAAUAUUAUUUGUACUUCAAUUUGUUUUUCUGUUGUGUCUCUCAUACAGAAUUCUUUUUCUUUCAGUUGUAGGGCAAUAAAAAUUUGGGUUUCUCCAGAUGACAUAUUAUGUGUAUGUAUUUGUGGGUUCUUAUUGAUUUAAUUUUAUUAUAGAGGUAUGAAGAAAUUUGUCUAUUAUUCUUUAUUUUUUGAGAGAUUAAAUACUCUUAAUUUUAUAUCUCUUCUUCUUAAUUCUUGUGGUUAUUUGCAGUCAAAGAAGAAUUAAUAUUUAUGGUCUAACUUCGAGUAAGCAUCUUUCUACCAUUACUAAUUUGUCAUUCUAUUAUUUGCUUCACUAAUUAAAAUAUGAUAUGUCAUUUUUGGCUAAAUCUUGUUCAUCAAAAAGUAUGUACUAAAAUUGUUUUUUUCUUCAGUGGGUACAUGAAAGUGUAAAUUUAUUCAAGAGCAACUUUACCAGACGAGUGGUUACAUUAGUGUUUGAGGAAGUAGUUACUAAAAUUAUUUGUAUUUCGAUUCGACGUCAUGUUGUUGAAUAAAUUUUAUUUUAUUUCGGUAUUUUAGUUUACGGAGUUUGUAAUGAAUAUUAUCUCAAUGUAGUAUUAGUUCUUAAUUAUGUGAUCGUUGGUGAAAAUUUUUGUUGUUACCUUCCAUUUUUACUAUGUUAUUUCCAUUUAGUAAAUGAUAAAUUCUGGAAUUA
This 1025-nucleotide long non-coding RNA is filed under the name Nicotiana tabacum (common tobacco). Its description in RNAcentral is "long non-coding RNA (NTAB_LNC010545)". The record is from RNAcentral. Lineage: Eukaryota; Viridiplantae; Streptophyta; Magnoliopsida; Solanales; Solanaceae.